ACAGGUGGUGCAUGGUUGUCGUCAGCUCGUGUCGUGAGAUGUUGGUUAAGUCCCGCAACGAGCGCAACCCCUAUUGUUAGUUGCCAUCAUUCAGUUGGGCACUCUAGCGAGACUGCCGGUAAUAACCGGAGGAAGUGGGAUGACGUCAAAUCAUCAUGCCCCUUAUGACCUGGGCUACACACGUGCUACAAUGGUUGGUACAACGAGUUGCGAGUCGGUGACGGCGAGCUAAUCUCUUAAAGCCAAUCUCAGUUCGGAUUGUAGGCUGCAACUCGCCUACAUGAAGCCGGAAUCGCUAGUAAUCGCGGAUCAGCAUGCCGCGGUGAAUACGUUCCCGGGCCUU
Molecule: ribosomal RNA, 343 nt
Filed under: uncultured Streptococcus sp.
Lineage: Bacteria; Bacillati; Bacillota; Bacilli; Lactobacillales; Streptococcaceae
Description: bacterial SSU rRNA
Rfam family: Bacterial small subunit ribosomal RNA
Source: RNAcentral